This 698-nucleotide long non-coding RNA is filed under the name Vigna radiata. Its description in RNAcentral is "long non-coding RNA (VRAD_LNC005080)". Lineage: Eukaryota; Viridiplantae; Streptophyta; Magnoliopsida; Fabales; Fabaceae. The record is from RNAcentral.
GGUUUUCACACACUGUCAGGUCUCAUUUUUCAUUAUUUUGCUAUUUUUCUCUUUUCCAGACCUGCUCUUUUCUUUUUCUUAAAACCAGAUUUCAUUUUUUUUCUUGGCCUUUCUUUUCUCUUUUGCACUCACUAAGUUCCAAGAUCCUCCAUCCCUCUCACAUGUCUCUACAGGUUAGGUAUUUGGUGGGAAAAAUGGCUUGUAAUAAAUGGAAACAAGGAAAAUUGGCUAAGGCUCAAAAUAAGGUACAAUGGUCAGAGAAACUAAAAUGAUAAAACUAAAUGGUUGUGGAUGGUAAGAAACAAUGCCUAAAUCAUGUCUAGAGUCCACUAAGAGCAAGCUUUUCACAAAGAAUCAAUGCAAAAUCAGAAUGAAAAUCAAACAUGCAUGAAACCACACAAGAAAGAAAAAAAAAUUGGCCCAAAAUCUCUCCAGGUUAAUAAAUUUCCAAAACUGACUUGCUACCCUCUUAUAUGCAAAAAUGCUUAAUUAAACUGAACUCAGAUGCAAAAACCAAAGCUAGGAAUACCUCUACUUGAAUCUAAACCAAAGAAUUACAUCAACAGUUCUAAUUAAGAGAAAUAAAACUGAGAAAUGAGUAAAUCAGCAAAGAAUUGAGAAAGGAAUGAAAUAGAACUCAAAAAGAACCUAGAAAUGUCUAACAAAAUGACCUAAAACUAUAUACAACCUAUAAAAUC